CCUACGGGUGGCAGCAGUGGGGAAUAUUGGGCAAUGGAGGAAACUCUGACCCAGCAACGCCGCGUGAAGGAUGAAGGUUUUCGGAUUGUAAACUUCUGUCGCGAGGGAUGAAGAAUGACGGUACCUGAAGAAUAAGCUCCGGCUAACUACGUGCCAGCAGCCGCGGUAAUACGUAGGGAGCAAGCGUUGUUCGGAAUGACUGGGCGUAAAGGGUGCGUAGGCGAUUAUACAAGUUAGAAGUGAAAUACCCAGGGCUUAACUCGGGUGCUGCUUCUAAAACUGUAAGACUUGAGUGCAGUAGAGGUUAGUGGAAUUCCUAGUGUAGCGGUGGAAUGCGUAGAUAUUAGGAGGAACACCAGAGGCGAAGGCGGCUAACUGGACUGCAACUGACGCUGAGGCACGAAAGUGUGGGGAGCAAACAGGAUUAGAUACCCGAGUAGUC
RNAcentral lists this ribosomal RNA (442 nucleotides) under uncultured bacterium. RNAcentral describes it as "partial 16S ribosomal RNA". It matches the Rfam family "Bacterial small subunit ribosomal RNA", at positions 338 to 795 of the family's 1533-position model. The record is from RNAcentral.